RNAcentral lists this long non-coding RNA (2005 nucleotides) under Nicotiana benthamiana. RNAcentral's name for it is "long non-coding RNA (NBEN_LNC025087)". The record is from RNAcentral. Lineage: Eukaryota; Viridiplantae; Streptophyta; Magnoliopsida; Solanales; Solanaceae.
UUGAAUCUUAUGACAUCGAUAUUAAGGAGCAAAAAGUGACAGUGAAGGGAAAUGUGGAGCCAGAAGCUGUUUUCCAAACUGUUUCUAAGACUGGAAAGAAGACUUCUUUUUGGGAAGCAGCAGCACCAGCACCAGAAGCAGCACCAGCACCAGCACCAUCACCAGAAGCCGCACCAGCACCAGCUGAACCUGAAGUAAAGCCUGCUGAAGUAAAGCCUGUGGAUACACCAGCUGAACCCGAAGCAAAGCCCGCAGAUGAAAAAACUACCGAAGCUGUUGCUGCAGCCUGAUGAUACUAAAAUAUAUAUCACGCUUAUGAUUUAUGCAACUUUAAUAUGUAACAGUUAAUCAGAGCUUAAAUGAUGUGUUGCUAAUUUUUGCGUUUGGUUUUUCUUGUAAUAAUAUAGAUAAAAAGUCCUGUUAUCUACUGAAAGGGAACUACGUCCAGUACACAGGAAUGUAUUGUUUAAUUAGUCUAGUGGAGUUGCAGACAUAUUAUUUUUACAGAGUGAUUUCACUAAUCAAAUGGAGAUUACGGAGCCUAUUAUAUGGUUCAGGCCCUGAGUUUAGGUUUUGUUGACUUACAGGAUAAAAAUAUUUACGUAUAUCGCAGAGAUUGGUUUUAUGGUAUAUUACAAAUGUUUUUUCAGUUAUAUGCCCCUUUACAUAUUGUUGUAGGCAGAGGCGGAGCCAAGAUUUCAAGCUUGUGAGUUUGGAAUUUUAAUUAUUUUAAGUUUUUGGGUUCUAAAUUAAUAAUUUAUACAUAUUGAAUGAAUUUCUUAAAACAAAUACAUGGUUCGAACCAAAGUUACUGGAUUCAACCGAAUCAACACUCAGUUCUGUAGCCCCCCCCGCCGGUUGUAGGGUCAUUCUCUUCUAUUUAAAUGUAAUUGGUCACUGAAGAUCAUUUUCUUCCUACCAUCAUAUAUUAAACUACAGGGAUCUAUUGUCUAAAAUAUCUUUACACUCUCAUUAUAUAUAAUUUAAUUUCAAACCCUACCAUAUAUCUGUAUUGGUCUAAAUUUGACGACUUUUUUAUGGCAGAUACAUGAUGGAAGACUGGAUCGACCAUGGUCUAAUAGCGGAAAGUCCUUUUCAAAGGGAGCGUAGUCGAGGACAAGCAACUAGUGUAUAGAAGUAACGGUAGGAUAGAUUUAGGAAUGAAUACAAGGAGUGUUCCUUUGGAUAUUUCCUAUUUUGCAUUCAUUAGGGUUUCUUGGAAAUACCUCAUAUAAAUAGGAAGGGAUAGGGAAUAAGGGGAAAUCUCCACUUUCUGAAAAAAGACAUUAUAAAAGGUUGACUUGAGAGAAUAUACAAAAGCUGUCUUGUUCAUUGAUUAUCUUAUCCAAGCACACGUUACUUGAUAUUUGUUCACAAGAUUCAAAGAUUCUAUAACCAUCUUCACUUAGGUAAAGAACUAUCCAAGUCAUAUAAUAAUUGGAUGGUAGAUUCUUUCCUAUUGCCUUUAUUGCCAUUAUCUACCUUUAUUGCAUAUUUAUGUUAUCAUAUUUAUUAGCAUUCAUUGAACACAAACGUGCUAUUUAACGCUGUCAAAAGUUGUUCAUGUUACCGAUUUCUCCCAAUUUUUGGUCUAGAAUUUAUUACUUUUAACUAAGAGUCAUCCUUCAUCUCAUCAUAAUUGGUUUAAUUAAAAGGCUCAAUACUUUUUGGUCAAAUAAUUUAGCGCCAUCUGUGUUGAGUAUUUUAUUUAAAUGUUUUAGAUUCUUCUUGUUCAUAAAUGACAACCAUAUUUUUCUCGUCUGCAAAAACUAACAAUGGUAGGGAAAGGAUAUGAAAGACAGAAAGCAAUAGUGGGUGUCGCUACCAACAUCUUAAACACCAUCAACGAGGAUGGCAGAGAAGACGACGAGAAUGUGACGCUGGGUGUUACACCCAAGCGGAGUGACUCACCUUCCCCUCAUAGAAGUGUAACCGCUUCAUGAGAAAAAAGACCGCAAUUUGAUGGUCCCAGAAGGUCCGUAGAAAAAUAUAGGAAACAGAAUGG